AGCUCGACGCCUGAACCCCUUGUGAACCAAAACAACCUUUCGCUUCGGCAGCAGCAGCGGUCUGGGUACCCUCCCAGCCCGCGGCUUAAGCCUGCCGGUGGCACCACACAACCAAACUUGNAAACUAAAAACCUGUCUGACAACCAUAUUUUCGAAUGAAAAUUAAAACUUUCAACAACGGAUCUCUUGGUUCCCGCAUCGAUGAAGAACGCAGCGAAACGCGAUAGUUAAUGUGAAUUGCAGAAUUCAGUGAAUCAUCGAGUCUUUGAACGCACAUUGCGCCCAUCGGUAUUCCGUUGGGCAUGUCUGUUUGAGCGUCAUUACAACCCUCGACACCAGUCGGUCGUGAGCUCCGCCGGGCGUGACAGCCCGGUUGGCUUUAAAGUUGUAAGCUCUGCUGGCCUCCGCGCCCAACCGAGACAUAGUAAGCCUACUUGUCAGAGGUGAGCGCGGUUUGGUUCGGCCUGAACAAAACCUACCACAUUCUAAGGUUUGACCUCAGAUCAGACAAGGAUACCCGCUGAACUUAAGCAUAUCAAUAAGCGGAGGAAAAGAAACCAACAGGGAUUGCCUCAGUAACGGCGAGUGAAGCGGCAACAGCUCAAAUUUGAAAUCUGGAGCCCUCGGCUUCCGAGUUGUAAUUUGAAGAGGAUGUUUCGGUCGUGGCCUGGGCCUAAGUUCCUUGGAACAGGACGUCAUUGAGGGUGAGAAUCCCGUACAUGGCUCCCGGCUUGCGAUCAUGUGAAGCUCCUUCGAAGAGUCGAGUUGUUUGGGAAUGCAGCUCAAAAUGGGUGGUAAAUUUCAUCUAAAGCUAAAUAUUGGCGGGAGACCGAUAGCGCACAAGUAGAGUGAUCGAAAGAUGAAAAGCACUUUGAAAAGAGAGUUAAACAGUACGUGAAAUUGUUGAAAGGGAAGCGCUUGCAAUCAGACUCGCUUGCGGUUGAUCAACGUUCCUUCUGGUGCGUGCACUCUGCCGUUGGCGGGCCAGCAUCGGUUGGGGCGGCGGGACAAAGGCGGCGGGAAUGUGGCUCCCCUCGGGGAGUGUUAUAGCCCGCUGUGUAAUGC
This 1065-nucleotide ribosomal RNA is filed under the name Orbilia anigozanthi. RNAcentral describes it as "eukaryotic LSU rRNA". The stretch from base 494 to 1065 matches the Rfam family "Eukaryotic large subunit ribosomal RNA", at positions 1 to 576 of the family's 3401-position model. The record is from RNAcentral. Lineage: Eukaryota; Fungi; Ascomycota; Orbiliomycetes; Orbiliales; Orbiliaceae.